Molecule: ribosomal RNA, 875 nt
Filed under: uncultured organism
Description: bacterial SSU rRNA
Rfam family: Bacterial small subunit ribosomal RNA
Source: RNAcentral
GCUCAACCAGGAAAUUGCUUUGCAUACUGGCAGGCUAGAGAAAGCCAGAGGUAGAUGGAAUUCCCGGUGUANCGGUGACAUGCGUUGAUAUCGGGAGGAACACCAAUGGCGAAGGCAGUCUACUGGGCCUCUUCUGACGCUCAGGCGCGAAAGCGUGGGUAGCAAACAGGAUUAGAUACCCUGGUAGUCCACGCCCUAAACGAUGGAUACUAGGCGUUAGGGGUAUCGACCCCCUUAGUGCCGCAGCAAACGCGAUAAGUAUCCCGCCUGGGGACUACGGCCGCAAGGCUGAAACUCAAAUGAAUUGACGGGGACCCGCACAAGCGGUGGAGCAUGUGGAUUAAUUCGAUACUAACCGAAGAACCUUACCCAGACUUGACAUCGAGGGCCCGGCUAUGAAAGUAGCCUUCCGCCUCACAAGGGCGGCCCAAAGACACCUGUUGCAUGGCUGUCGUCAGCUCGUGCCGUGAGGUGUUUGGUUAAGUCCAGCAACGAGCGCAACCCUCGUCCUAUGUUGCCAACAGGUAAAGCUGGGAACUCAUAGGAGACCGCCGGCGCAAGCCGGAGGAAGGUGAGGAUGACGUCAAGUCAGCAUGGCGGUUACGUCUGGGGCUUCACACAUGCUACAAUGGAUGCAACAAAGGGGAGCGAGACCGUAAGGUUUAGCGAAUCCCAAAAAUACAUCCUCAGUUCGGAUUGCAGUCUGCAACUCGACUGCAUGAAGUCGGAAUCGCUAGUAAACGCAGGUCAGCUAUACUGCGUUGAUACGUUCCCGGGUCUUGUACACACCGCCCGUCAAGUCACCCGAAUUGUCUGCACCCGAAGUCCGUGGCCCAACCGUAAGGAGGGAGCGGCCGAAGGUGCGGGGAGUAAGG